AUUGAACGCUGGCGGCAGGCCUAACACAUGCAAGUCGAGCGGAUGAAGGGAGCUUGCUCCUGGAUUCAGCGGCGGACGGGUGAGUAAUGCCUAGGAAUCUGCCUGGUAGUGGGGGAUAACGUCCGGAAACGGGCGCUAAUACCGCAUACGUCCUGAUGUAGAAAGUGGGUGAUCUUCGGACCUCACGCUAUCAGAUGAGCCUAGGUUGGAUUAGCUAGUUGGUCGGGUAAAGGCUUACCAAGGCGACAAGCCGUAACUGGUCUAAGAGGAUGAUCAGUAACUCGGGAGAUGAGAAACGGUCCGACUCCUACGGGAGGAAGCAGUGGGGAAUCUUGGACGAUGGGGGAAAGCCUGAUACAGCAAUGCCGCGUGUGUGAAGAAGGUCUUCGGCUGGUAAAGUAAUUUAAGUUGGGAGGAAGGGCAGUAAGUUAAUCCCUUGCUGUUUUGACGUUACCAACAGAAUGAGCACCGGCUAACUUCGUG
This 483-nucleotide ribosomal RNA is filed under the name uncultured bacterium. RNAcentral describes it as "partial 16S ribosomal RNA". It matches the Rfam family "Bacterial small subunit ribosomal RNA", at positions 30 to 507 of the family's 1533-position model. The record is from RNAcentral.